RNAcentral lists this long non-coding RNA (845 nucleotides) under Vigna radiata. RNAcentral describes it as "long non-coding RNA (VRAD_LNC014713)". Lineage: Eukaryota; Viridiplantae; Streptophyta; Magnoliopsida; Fabales; Fabaceae. The record is from RNAcentral.
AAGGGCCUAAUAUUAACUACUGGCUUGNUAUCCCUAGCCUCCCCUAGUAAUUAAUACCGCAUUAUAAACAGAAGUUAGCGCAAUUGAUCAUCCUACCCCUAUCCCUAGGUGGUAUUGCAAAAUCAAGAGAUUACUCACCAGUUCAUGUCAUUACUGUACGUCCCCAUAUCAAAAAAGACAAACAUCAAUAUACCGUAUGAGUUAAACGAUAAAGGCUUUAAGCACAGAUGAUAACCCAACAAUAAUCAAUCAAAACAUAUGAAGACCAUAUAAAUAAUCAAGAGAUUCAAUAAGAGAGAGUAUCAAAAGAUUACAUUGUUUCCCCCAACAACAAUAGGGUUUAGUUCACCAUAGACAUGGUGAAACUAGAUGAAAAAUGGAAGAAGAAUGGAAAAGCAAACCCUAGAAAAGAUGAAAAGGAGCCUAAGUAUCCAAGAGAUCCUCUCUAGAGAGCAAAAUUAGGUCUGGUCGUUCUCCCCUGUCAAAAGAAUCACUUUGAAUUCGUAAUAGGGGUAUUUAUAGGUGAGGAGCGCAUCAAAAACAGGCCCAAGUCCAGCGAGCCACCGCCGGGCGGUUUAAGUGUGCCGCCCGGCGGUUUCCCAUAACCUGUCGCCACUGCCCGGCGGCAAUCGCCAACGCCCGGCGGUUUAAGUGUGCCGCUGGGCGGUACGUCGACUCUUCAAAUCUUCGUUUUUCUGCUCUUUUCUUGAGUCAACGACCUGUAUCUUUAACUCCAUUCUUACUUUUCUCAAAUUAGCUACAAAAUAAUGCAAAAUAAGCAUAAAAUCGCUAAAAACAACUUUUGACUCUCUCCAGACUCAUUUAUUGAGUUUUGCUUGAUUCUG